UAGGGAAUCUUCGGCAAUGGGGGGAACCCUGACCGAGCAACGCCGCGUGAGUGAAGAAGGUUUUCGGAUCGUAAAGCUCUGUUGUUAAGGAAGAACGAGUGUGAAAAUGGAAAGUUCAUACUGUGACGGUACUUAACCAGAAAGGGACGGCUAACUACGUGCCAGCAGCCGCGGUAAUACGUAGGUCCCGAGCGUUGUCCGGAUUUAUUGGGCGUAAAGCGAGCGCAGGCGGUUCCUUAAGUCUGAUGUGAAAGCCCCCGGCUCAACCAGGGAGGGUCAUUGGAAACUGGGGAACUUGAGUGCAGAAGAGGAGAGUGGAAUUCCAUGUGUAGCGGUGAAAUGCGUAGAUAUAUGGAGGAACACCAGUGGCGAAGGCGACUCUCUGGUCUGUAACUGACGCUGAGGCUCGAAAGCGUGAGUAGCAAACAGGAUUAGAUACCCUGGUAGUCCACGCCGUAAACGAUGAGUGCUAAGUGUUAGGUCCUUUCCGGGGCUCAGUGCCGCAGCUAACGCAUUAAGCACUCCGCCUGGGGAGUACGACCGCAAGGUUG
RNAcentral lists this ribosomal RNA (551 nucleotides) under uncultured bacterium. Its description in RNAcentral is "bacterial SSU rRNA". It matches the Rfam family "Bacterial small subunit ribosomal RNA", at positions 355 to 896 of the family's 1533-position model. The record is from RNAcentral.